RNAcentral lists this ribosomal RNA (497 nucleotides) under uncultured bacterium. RNAcentral's name for it is "partial 16S ribosomal RNA". It matches the Rfam family "Bacterial small subunit ribosomal RNA", at positions 28 to 507 of the family's 1533-position model. The record is from RNAcentral.
GAUGAACGCUGGCGGCGUGCUUAAUACAUGCAAGUCGAGCGAACAGGCGAGGGCUUUCCCUCUUUCUCGUUUGGGGCAGGGGGGAGUGUCACGUGUGGGUACCGUCCUUCUCUGCCUGGGAUAACUUGGGGACUCCGGAGCAUAUCCGGGAGAACAUUUUUAAGCGUACGGUUCAGUAGUGAUAGUCGGUUUUGCGGUCACUUCUCGACGGAUCCGCGCCGCAUUGGCGUGUUGGUAAGGUAACGACUUACCAAGGCAACGAUGCGUACCCGACCUGAGAGGGUGAUCGGCCAUACUGGAGCGGAGACACGGUCCAGACUCCUACGGGAGGCCACAGUAGGGAGUCUUCCGGAAGGGGCGAAUGCCUGACGGUGCAACGCCGCGUGAGGGAUGAAGGCCUUCGGAUCGUAGAACUCUGUUAUGUGGGAAGAACAAAUGUGUAAGUAACUAGGCACUUCUUGACGGUACCUAAUCAGAAAGCCACGGCUAACUACGUG